Molecule: ribosomal RNA, 625 nt
Filed under: uncultured bacterium
Lineage: Bacteria
Description: bacterial SSU rRNA
Rfam family: Bacterial small subunit ribosomal RNA
Source: RNAcentral
CCUACGGGAGGCAGCAGUGGGGAAUUUUGGACAAUGGGCGCAAGCCUGAUCCAGCAAUGCCGCGUGAGUGAAGAAGGCCUUCGGGUUGUAAAGCUCUUUUGUCAGGGAAGAAACGGUGAAGGCUAAUAUCCUUUGCUAAUGACGGUACCUGAAGAAUAAGCACCGGCUAACUGCGUGCCAGCAGCCGCGGUAAUACGUAGGGUGCAAGCGUUAAUCGGAAUUACUGGGCGUAAAGCGUGCGCAGGCGGUUUUGUAAGUUUGUCGUGAAAUCCCCGGGCUCAACCUGGGAAUGGCGAUGAAGACUGCAAGGCUAGAAUCUGGCAGAGGGGGGUAGAAUUCCACGUGUAGCAGUGAAAUGCGUAGAGAUGUGGAGGAACACCGAUGGCGAAGGCAGCCCCCUGGGUCAAGAUUGACGCUCAUGCACGAAAGCGUGGGGAGCAAACAGGAUUAGAUACCCUGGUAGUCCACGCCCUAAACGAUGUCUACUAGUUGUCGGGUUUUAAUUAACUUGGUAACGCAGCUAACGCGUGAAGUAGACCGCCUGGGGAGUACGGUCGCAAGAUUAAAACUUAAAUUAAGUUAGUAGUUGGCGNGNGAGAGCGACGACGACGACGAGGAGGAGGAG